RNAcentral lists this transfer RNA (68 nucleotides) under Cricetulus griseus (Chinese hamster). It matches the Rfam family "tRNA". From Rfam's summary of the family: Transfer RNA (tRNA) molecules are approximately 80 nucleotides in length. Their secondary structure includes four short double-helical elements and three loops (D, anti-codon, and T loops). Lineage: Eukaryota; Metazoa; Chordata; Mammalia; Rodentia; Cricetidae. The record is from Rfam by way of RNAcentral.
GUUGGCUCAGCAGUUAAGAGCACUGGGUACUCCUUCAGAGGACCUGGGUUCAAAUCCCAGUGCCAACA